This 1265-nucleotide ribosomal RNA is filed under the name Indomegoura indica. RNAcentral describes it as "16S ribosomal RNA". The record is from RNAcentral. Lineage: Eukaryota; Metazoa; Arthropoda; Insecta; Hemiptera; Aphididae.
AAUUAAAAUUAUUAAUAUUUUUAUUUGUUUUUUGAUUUUUUAUAAAAAUAAUUUAUUUAUAUAAGGUUUUAGUAUUUAGUAAAAAUUAAUUUUUAGAUUUAUAGUUUAAUAGUAUUGUAAAAGAAUUAAUUAGAUUUUAAAAAGAAUAUUUUUAGUACCUUUUGUAUCAGGGUUAAUUAAAAUUUUUAAUUUUUUUUUAAUUUCUCAAAAUUUAUAGAGUUAAUUUUAUUAUUAAUUUAUUGUUUUAUAAAUAUUUAAAAAAUAAUAUUGGUUUUGAAAUUUAAUUCGUUAUAAUAUAUUUAGUUAUUUAAGAUUUAAAUUUAAUUUAUAAUUUUAAAAGUUAUAUUAAUUUUAUAUAUAAAUAUUUUAAAUUUAAAUUAUUUUAGGGAUAAGCUUAAAAUUUUUAUAUAAUAAUUUAUUUAUUUUAAUAAUUUAUAGGAAUAGAAAUUUUUAUUUUAAGUUUGUAAAAAUUUAUUAUUUAUUUAUUUUUAAUUUAUUAUAAAUUUAUUUAUUUUUUUUAUUAAAUUUUAUAAAUUAAUAUUUAAUUUUUAGUAAUAAUGAUUAAAUUAGUAUAAUCUAAAUUUAUAAAUUAUGAAUUCGGCAAAAAUUAUUUUCAUCUGUUUAACAAAAACAUUGUAUUAAGAAGUUUAAUUUAAUAUAGGAUCUGCUCAAUGAUUUAUUAAAUAGCUGCAGUAUUUUGACUGUGCAAAGGUAGCAUAAUAAUUAGUCUUUUAAUUGAGGACUUGUAUGAAAGAUUUGAUGAGAAAUAAACUUUAUUAUUUAUAAAAUUAAAAUUUUAUUUUUAAGUAAAAAAGCUUAAAUUAUUUAAAGGGACGAUAAGACCCUAUAAAACUUUAUAAAUAUUAAUUUUAAUUUUUUUGGAUUUAUAAAUAUUUUAAUUUUAUUAUUUAUUUUAUUGGGGUGAUAAAAAAAAUUAAUAAACUUUUUUUAAAAUUUUACAUUAUUUAGUGAAUAUUUGAAUUAAAAUUUUUAAUUUAAGGGAAAAGUUACUUUAGGGAUAACAGCGUAAUUAAUUUUUUAAGUUCAAAUUUAAAAAUUAGUUUGCGACCUCGAUGUUGAAUUAAGAUUAAUCUUGGGUGCAAAAUUUUAAGUAUUAGGUCUGUUCGACCUUUAAAUUCUUACAUGAUUUGAGUUCAAACCGGUGUAAGCCAGGUUGGUUUCUAUCUUUUAAUAAAUGAUUUAUUUUAGUACGAAAGGAUUAAAUAAUUAAAUUAAAUUUUUGUUAAAUGAAUUAAAUUAAUUUA